UACAGAGGGUGCGAGCGUUGUUCGGAAUUAUUGGGCGUAAAGGGCGCGUAGGCGGCGCCACAAGUCACUUGUGAAAACUCGAGGCUCAACCUCGAGCUGUCGGUGGAAACUGUCUGGCUAGAGUCCGGAAGAGGAGAGUGGAAUUCCUGGUGUAGCGGUGAAAUGCGCAGAUAUCAGGAGGAACACCGGUGGCGAAGGCGGUUCUCUGGGCAUGAUCUGACGCUGAGGAGCGAAAGUGUGGGGAGCGAACAGG
This 253-nucleotide ribosomal RNA is filed under the name uncultured bacterium. RNAcentral's name for it is "partial 16S ribosomal RNA". It matches the Rfam family "Bacterial small subunit ribosomal RNA", at positions 524 to 776 of the family's 1533-position model. The record is from RNAcentral.